RNAcentral lists this ribosomal RNA (808 nucleotides) under uncultured Chloroflexota bacterium. RNAcentral describes it as "bacterial SSU rRNA". It matches the Rfam family "Bacterial small subunit ribosomal RNA", at positions 8 to 831 of the family's 1533-position model. Lineage: Bacteria; Bacillati; Chloroflexota. The record is from RNAcentral.
AGAGUUUGAUCCUGGCUCAGGAUGAACGUUGGCGGCGUGCCUAAUACAUGCAAGUCGAACGGUAGUUGAGCAUUCGUGCUUGAUGAGAGUGGCGAACGGGUGAGUAACACGUAACUGAUCUGCCCUUUAGACUGGGAUAACCUUUGGAAACAGAGGCUAAUACCGGAUGAGUUCGCGGUAGUUAGAGAGCCGUGAGGAAAGGCUAAUGCGCUAAGGGAUGAGGUUGCGGGCCAUCAGCUAGUUGGUGAGGUAAAGGCUCACCAAGGCGAUGACGGUUAGGGGAUCUGAGAGGGUGGCCCCCCACACUGGGACUGAGACACGGCCCAGACUCCUACGGGAGGCAGCAGUAAGGGAUAUUGCACAAUGGACGGAAGUCUGAUGCAGCGACGCCGCGUGGGUGAAGAAGGUUUUCGGAUCGUAAAGCCCUUUUCUAUGUGACGAGAGAGGACGGUAGCAUAGGAAUAAGUGUCGGCUAACUACGUGCCAGCAGCCGCGGUAAAACGUAGGACGCGAACGUUAUCCGGAGUUACUGGGCGUAAAGCGCGCGUAGGCGGUUGGUUAAGUUACCUAUGAAAGAUACAGGCUAAACUUGUAUUGGUUAGGUGAAACUGGCUAACUAGAGAGACAUAGAGGGAAGUAGAAUUCCGGGUGUAGUGGUGAAAUGCGUAGAUAUCCGGAGGAAUACCGGUGGCGAAGGCGGCUUCCUGGAUUUCCACUGACGCUGAUGCGCGAAAGCGUGGGUAGCGAACGGGAUUAGAAACCCCCGGUAGUCCACGCCGUAAACGAUGUACAUUAGGCGUUCGGUUAC